This 1134-nucleotide long non-coding RNA is filed under the name Salmo trutta (river trout). RNAcentral's name for it is "lncRNA (ENSSTUG00000048443.1)". The record is from RNAcentral. Lineage: Eukaryota; Metazoa; Chordata; Actinopteri; Salmoniformes; Salmonidae.
ACAGUACAAUUGAUAGUUCCGACAUUAUUAUUAUUAUUAUUAUUAGUGGUAGUAGUAGUAGUAGUAGUAGUGGUAGUAGUAGUAGUGGUAGUAGUGGUAGUAGUGGUAGUAGUAGUAGUGGUAGUAGUGGUAGUAGUAGUAGUGGUAGUAGUAGUAGUGGUAGUAGUGGUAGCAGUGGUAGUGGUAGUAGUGGUAGUAGUAGUGGUAGUAGUGGUAGUAGUAGUAGUGGUAGUAGUGGUAGUAGUAGUAGUGGUAGUAGUGGUAGUAGUAGUAGUGGUAGUGGUAGUAGUAGUGGUAGUAGUAGUGGUAGUGGUGGUAGUAGUAGUAGUGGUAGUAGUGGUAGUUGUGGUAGUGGUGGUAGUAGUAGUGGUAGUAGUAGUGGUAGUGGUAGUAGUAGUGGUAGUAGUGGUAGUGGUAGUAGUGGUAGUGGUAGUAGUAGUGGUAGUGGUAGUAGUAGUGGUGGUAGUAGUAGUGGUAGUGGUGGUAGUAGUGGUAGUGGUGGUAGUGGUGGUAGUGGUACUAGUGGUAGUGGUGGUGGUAGUAGUGGUAGUAGUGGUAGUGGAGGUAGUAGUGGUAGUAGUGGUAGUAGUGGUAGUAGUAGUAGUGGUGGUAGUGGUGGUAGUAGUGGUAGUAGUGGUAGUGGUAGUAGUAGUGGUAGUAGUAGUGGUAGUAGUGGUAGUAGUGGUAGUGGUAGUAGUGGUAGUAGUGGUGGUAGUGGUGGUAGUAGUGGUAGUAGUGGUAGUGGUGGUAGUGGUGGUAGUGGUACUAGUGGUAGUGGUGGUGGUAGUAGUGGUAGUAGUGGUAGUAGAAGUAGUGGUAGUGGUAGUAGUAGUGGUAGUAGUGGUAGUAGUGGUAGUGGUGGUAGUAGUAGUAGUAGUGGUAGUGGUAGUAGUAGUGGUAGUAGUGGUAGUAGUGGUAGUAGUAGUGGUAGUAGUAGUAGUAGUGGUGGAAGUGGUACUAGUGGUAGUGGUGGUGGUAGUAGUGGUAGUAGUGGUAGUAGUGGUAGUGGUGGUAGUAGUGGUAGUAGUGGUAGUGGUGGUAGUGGUGGUAGUAGUGGUAGUAGUGGUAGUAGUGGUAGUAGUAGUAGUAGUAGUGGUAGUACUAGUAGUGGUAGUGGUAGUAGUGGUAGUGGUG